RNAcentral lists this ribosomal RNA (460 nucleotides) under uncultured bacterium. Its description in RNAcentral is "partial 16S ribosomal RNA". It matches the Rfam family "Bacterial small subunit ribosomal RNA", at positions 338 to 795 of the family's 1533-position model. The record is from RNAcentral.
CCUACGGGAGGCUGCAGUGAGGAAUAUUGGUCAAUGGGCGCGAGCCUGAACCAGCAAAGUCGCGUGAAGGAUGACUGCCCUACGGGUUGUAAACUUCUUUUAUAAAGGAGUAAAGUGAGGCACGUGUGCCUUUUUGUAUGUACUUUAUGAAUAAGCAUCGGCUAACUCCGUGCCAGCAGCCGCGGUAAUACGGAGGAUCCGAGCGUUGUCCGGAUUUAUUGGGUUUAAAGGGAGCGUAGAUGGGUUGUUAAGUCAGUUGUGAAAGUUUGCGGCUCAACCGUAAAAUUGCAAUUGAUACUGGAAGUCUUGAGUACAGUUGAGGUAGACGGAAUUCGUGGUGUAGCGGUGAAAUGCUUAGAUAUCACGAAGAACUCCGAUUGCGAAGGCAGCUUACUAAACUGCCACUGACAUUGAUGCGCGAAAGUGUGGGUAUCAAACAGGAUUAGAUACCCUUGUAGUC